GAUUUGAAUUGACGAAAACAUAUACCAGCAUUCUGUAUAAGGCUCUUCUUUGAUCUAGGAUCGACUACAAAUCCAGCCUCAAUUAAUUUAUAAAUUUUAUCUUUUGUCUUCGUUGGCACCUUUUUCCAUGUAUCGUACACAAUUAAUGGAACCACAAAGUGGUUCCAAUGAAACUCUUCAGCUUCGUUGCCCAAAUGGUUGGUCGUGUUCAUUAUACUCAACCACUCUUCUACGACCCUCGCUG
This 244-nucleotide unclassified non-coding RNA is filed under the name Hevea brasiliensis (rubber tree). The record is from RNAcentral. Lineage: Eukaryota; Viridiplantae; Streptophyta; Magnoliopsida; Malpighiales; Euphorbiaceae.